RNAcentral lists this microRNA precursor (61 nucleotides) under Drosophila ananassae. Its description in RNAcentral is "Dan-Mir-96-P2_pre stem-loop". It matches the Rfam family "mir-263 microRNA precursor family", at positions 12 to 76 of the family's 86-position model. Lineage: Eukaryota; Metazoa; Arthropoda; Insecta; Diptera; Drosophilidae. The record is from RNAcentral.
CUUGGCACUGGGAGAAUUCACAGUUGAUUUUAUUAUUCUGUGGUUCUGCGGGUGCCAAAAU